GUAAGGAAUAUUGGUCAAUGGACGAAAGUCUGAACCAGCCAUGCCGCGUGAAGGAUGAAGGCCCUCUGGGUUGUAAACUUCUUUUAUCUGGGACGAAAAAAGGGUAUUCUUACUCACUUGACGGUACCAGAGGAAUAAGCACCGGCUAACUCCGUGCCAGCAGCCGCGGUAAUACGGAGGGUGCAAGCGUUAUCCGGAUUCACUGGGUUUAAAGGGUGCGUAGGUGGGUAUUUAAGUAAGUGGUGAAAUCUCCGAGCUUAACUCGGAAACUGACAUUGAUACUAUUUACCUUGAAUGCCCUGGAGGUAAGCGGAAUAUGUCAUGUAGCGGUGAAAUGCUUAGAUAUGACAUAGAACACCAAUUGCGAAGGCAGCUUACUACGGGGUGAUUGACACUGAGGCACGAAAGCGUGGGGAGCAAACAGGAUUAGAAACCCUAGUAGUCC
RNAcentral lists this ribosomal RNA (445 nucleotides) under uncultured bacterium. Its description in RNAcentral is "partial 16S ribosomal RNA". It matches the Rfam family "Bacterial small subunit ribosomal RNA", at positions 354 to 796 of the family's 1533-position model. The record is from RNAcentral.